RNAcentral lists this ribosomal RNA (301 nucleotides) under uncultured bacterium. Its description in RNAcentral is "partial 16S ribosomal RNA". It matches the Rfam family "Bacterial small subunit ribosomal RNA", at positions 509 to 807 of the family's 1533-position model. The record is from RNAcentral.
CAGUCGCCGCGGUAAUACGAAGGGUGCAAGCGUUACUCGGAAUUACUGGGCGUAAAGCGUGCGUAGGUGGUGGUUUAAGUCCGUUGUGAAAGCCCUGGGCUCAACCUGGGAAUUGCAGUGGAUACUGGGUCACUAGAGUGUGGUGGAGGAUAGUGGAAUUUCCGGUGUAGCAGUGAAAUGCGUAGAGAUCGGAAGGAACAUCUGUGGCGAAGGCGACUAUCUGGGCCAACACUGACACUGAGGCACGAAAGCGUGGGGAGCAAACAGGAUUAGAUACCCCCGUAGUCCCUGUCUCUUAUAC